AGUCUUUUGUAGUUUGUAAGUGUGAUGAUUAGGUUUUGAGAGGGGCCUCCCUCAAACCUUUAGACAUUGUCAUCGGCACAUUACCUGCCUGAUG
Molecule: small nucleolar RNA, 94 nt
Organism: Nomascus leucogenys (northern white-cheeked gibbon)
Lineage: Eukaryota; Metazoa; Chordata; Mammalia; Primates; Hylobatidae
Rfam family: Small nucleolar RNA U13
Source: Rfam